AAACAACUUUAUGCUUGCCUGACUAAGUGAGCCAUUCGACCAUUGUUGCUCAAUUCAUCAAUCCUCAUGGGAUCGACCUUCACUCACCUAAGGUAUUACUCGGUACGAUCCAGUGCACUUGCCGGUUAGUUGUGAAUAUAGAAAAUCUGCACUAGAGGGCAUGGCAACGAGGAUGAGAGUGAGUUUAUUUGGCGAAGGAUGGCACGAGAGAAGGAAUUUAAUACUACAAAAAAUUCUGGUAAAAACGGCAGUUUUUUUGGGUAUUUACGGCGGUUUGAACCGCCAUUAUUACCAAUAAUGGCAGUUUCGUAAAGUGACGUAAUUCUGGGCGCCAUUCUGGUUGUUACGGCGGUUUUCUGAAAACCGCCACAAUUCCCUGGGUUAAAACGGCGAUUUUUGAAUAGGUUAAAAUGGCGGUUCAAACCGCCGUUAUUUCCAGGGUUAAAAUGGCAGUUUUUGGAUAGGUUAAAACGGCGGUUUGAACCGUCAUUAUUACUCUGACAGAGUGGUGUUUUGGUUGGUUAAAAUGGCAUUUUUGAACCACCAUUUUUACCCUGACAAUAGCGUUUUGGUUGGUUAAAAUGGCAUUUUUGAACUGCCGUUUUACCCUGACAGUGACAUUUUUUAUCGUUGUUUUUAACAAUUUUUACCGUCAUUUUUAUCGCGUUAAAUAAAUAAUUUUAUGAUUAAAAUUUCACAAUAGCAAAAAAUUAUAAUCCAUAAAUGAAAUAUUAUAUAACUCAAAAACAAAAUAUUAAUAUAAUAUAUAAUUUUUUAUUAUUGAAAAUCAAAAGUAAUAACUCCUAUACAAAAUCUUGUCUUACUAAACUUACCAAAAUACAAGCAUUGCAAUAAACACUAAUCAGUCAAGACUAAUAAUGUAUUUAAACCAUCUAAUAAGUGCUGUUUUUACUACUUAGAAUAUGAAUAUACAAGACAAGUAGCUUAGCUAAGUGAUGAUGAAUAAGAUUUGGAGGCCAAAAGUUUCCUCCUUCUGCGACAGCAAACUCGGUGGAACUUCGCGUCUUCGGAUGGAAUUUUAGAUCUGAGAGAUUGGGU
Molecule: non-coding RNA, 1059 nt
Organism: Arachis ipaensis
Lineage: Eukaryota; Viridiplantae; Streptophyta; Magnoliopsida; Fabales; Fabaceae
Source: RefSeq, a predicted model, not a curated record